RNAcentral lists this ribosomal RNA (253 nucleotides) under uncultured bacterium. RNAcentral's name for it is "partial 16S ribosomal RNA". It matches the Rfam family "Bacterial small subunit ribosomal RNA", at positions 524 to 776 of the family's 1533-position model. The record is from RNAcentral.
CACGUAGGGUGCGAGCGUUGUCCGGAAUUAUUGGGCGUAAAGAGCUCGUAGGCGGUGUGUCGCGUCGGCCGUGAAAACCUGGGGCUUAACUCUGGGCGUGCGGUCGAUACGGGCAGGCUAGAGUUCGGUAGGGGAGACUGGAAUUCCUGGUGUAGCGGUGAAAUGCGCAGAUAUCAGGAGGAACACCGGUGGCGAAGGCGGCUCUCUGGGCCGUAACUGACGCUGAGGAGCGAAAGCAUGGGGAGCGAACAGG